This is a long non-coding RNA of Mesocricetus auratus (golden hamster), 595 nucleotides long. RefSeq lists it as uncharacterized. The record is from RefSeq and is a predicted model, not a curated record. The transcript is spliced from 3 exons. NCBI's taxonomy places the organism in Eukaryota, Metazoa, Chordata, Mammalia, Rodentia, Cricetidae.
GCUGGUCUGUGCCCUCGCUGUAGCAGGACUCUGCCCGAACAAAGCGGCAUUCAUGGGUCUACCCGGCCACUUCACACGCCACACUGUCACCAACAAAACUUCUGUGAGACUGUUAGUGAACUUUGUCAGGAGGACUCAGAGCCAUUGAAAGAAGCAUAAAAAGGUGCUGACUGUCUACUAACUGACUUCUGAGAAGAGAACCCUGCCACGCAAGCCCUGCUUCUUCAAGAACUUUAAGAGGACUGGUGGGAUGACUCAGGAGAGCAUUUAUAAACUGUAAGAACUUCGGGAACAAGUUGAUUUGCCCAGAAGAAGCUCAGACUAAAACCACCUCUAGGAGAAGGAGAGACCAGGAGGACAGAGACCAGUUGAGUCGCCUGGAAGGACACUCAGACCAAUUGAAGUACCUGGAAAGGACACUCUCCAACCCUUGAGCUGCCUUCAGGCUGUGCAAUACACUCUUUAAGUUUUCGGUUUUUAUGAGCUGUCACCCAUGAUGGGUGGGCUUGGGUGAUGCAGCUGUCACUGAGUCCCGUAAGUAAUCCCUCACCUGCAUUCCUGAAGGAACUUCAAUAAAACAAAGCAGUUUUGGUUC